RNAcentral lists this ribosomal RNA (1077 nucleotides) under Triticum aestivum (bread wheat). RNAcentral's name for it is "partial small subunit ribosomal RNA". Lineage: Eukaryota; Viridiplantae; Streptophyta; Magnoliopsida; Poales; Poaceae. The record is from RNAcentral.
AUGGGAGGGAGAGGGGUGAAGCAACAAACCGGAGAGCGCAGGGGUGAGCACGCCGUCGCCGAUGAGCAUGCACGUCCCGAGCAGCGCGAAGAGCAGCAGGAGCCGCUGCAGCACCCUGUACCUCUCCAGCACCGUCCUGGCCCUGGACCGGUCGCCGCGACGGCCGGCGGCGUCCUUGUCGUCCGCCAUGAGGUCCUCGCUGUUGCCGCCGCCGGGAAGGAGGCCGGCGCGCACGUGGCGGCAGAUGAGGGAGUAGAGCGCGAAGGUGCCGCCCUCGCCGCCGUCGUUGGCGCGGAGCACGAUGAGGACGUACUUGAGGAGGGAGAUGAGGGUGAGCGUCCAGAAGACGAAGGAGAGGACGCCGUAGAUCUCCUCGUUGCCCGCCGUGUGCGUGAUGUCGUCGCCGGCGAAGGCGCUCUUGAAGACGUAGAGCGGCGACGUGGCCACGUCGCCGUACACCACCCCGAGGCUCUGGUACGCCAGCAGCAGCACCGCGCCCCACGACUCCCCCUGCUUCCGCCGCGCAGCAGCAAGAAGAAGAAGCAGCAAAACCCGUCAGCACACAAACAAAGCCGCCCGAGCGAAGCUCCGGCGCCGAAUCCAAGAAACCAGAGCGCUCGCUCGCUCGCUCACUCACCUUCCGCGGGGCCCCCGCGCCGUGCGCGAGCUCCAGAUCCAUGCCUUGCUCGCGUCCGCCCGGACUGCCCGCGCCUCAAUGCGCCGCGGCGCCCAUGGGAGAGCCCGCGCUCCAAAUCACCGGAAGAAGACGGACGGACGAUUCCCGCCCGGCAAACCGCACCGCGGGGCACACAGCAGGAUUUAUCGCCUUGGACGCUUCCGGGAGAAUCCUCCUUCCUCCUCCGACGCGCACUCGCCGUCUCCAACCAGCUUUGCUCCUCCUCCGGGCCACGAAGACGGAAGCGGCAGCGGCGGCGGGUGCUUUUCUUUUGCCGCUCCGAGAAGGCCGCGACGAGUCAAACAAAACAAGUGAAGGGAACAGGGUCGGGCGGCAAGACUGGAGAGCAAAGCCCGAGUGACCAGCCAACCAACCAAGCGGGUGCAAGAGGAAGAAGAUAG